UGGGGAAUAUUGCACAAUGGGGGAAACCCUGAUGCAGCGACGCCGCGUGGAGGAAGAAGGCCCUCGGGUUGUAAACUCCUGUCUUUGGGGACGAUAAUGACGGUACCCAAGGAGGAAGCCACGGCUAACUACGUGCCAGCAGCCGCGGUAAAACGUAGGUGGCAAGCGUUGUCCGGAAUUACUGGGUGUAAAGGGAGCGCAGGCGGAGCGGCAAGUUGGAGGUGAAACCCAUGGGCUCAACCCAUGAACUGCCUUCAAAACUGUCGGUCUUGAGUGGUGUAGAGGUAAGCGGAAUUCCCGGUGUAGCGGUGGAAUGCGUAGAUAUCGGGAGGAACACCAGUGGCGAAGGCGGCUUACUGGGCACUAACUGACGCUGAGGCUCGAAAGCAUGGGUAGCAAACAGGAUUAGAUACC
RNAcentral lists this ribosomal RNA (414 nucleotides) under uncultured bacterium. RNAcentral's name for it is "bacterial SSU rRNA". It matches the Rfam family "Bacterial small subunit ribosomal RNA", at positions 355 to 786 of the family's 1533-position model. The record is from RNAcentral.